Molecule: long non-coding RNA, 1094 nt
Filed under: Homo sapiens (human)
Lineage: Eukaryota; Metazoa; Chordata; Mammalia; Primates; Hominidae
Description: non-protein coding lnc-DKK3-10:4
Source: RNAcentral
GCGAGAUGAAACCCCCGGUGUUGCUCUCUCUUCAGAAUUCAAUCAACUUCCUGUAGAUGAACUUUCCAGCAAAAGCUGUUCCUACCCAGUUUGCAAGGCCCAGUCAGCUUGUACUCUCAGAGGGCCAGCACUCCACUCUGAUGGAAAUCUGCCUGUGAUGCCAGCCUGGGGAGUGCCCUUCACACGUGAUCUCAUCUAAGCCUGGCUUGACAGUAAGAAGAGGAGGAAGAGGAGGAAGCUUAGGAAUCCUCUCUGAAGGGGACAUGGUUCUUGGAGGCCUGAUUUGUAUUGGGGAGAAUCCUGAAACCAAUCACUGAGGGAGCACUACCCUUUAUGAUGGGGAUGGAAAAGCCACAGCAACCCUAUGGCCUCUAGUUUUGGAGAGGGACUCAGCUAAAGACCAAAGGAAGCACCAGAAAGAAGAACUGAAGAGUUUAAUUUGGUUAAACAUAAAUAAAAAUAAAAACAUCUCUAGAAUAUAGAAACUAUCUCUAGAAGUCCGGGUGUUGUGGCUCACACCUGUAAUCCCAGCAUUUUGGGAGGCUAAGGCAGGUGGAUGACCUGAGCUCAGGAAUUUGAGACCAGCCUGGGCAAUAUGGCAAAACUUCGUCUCUGCCAAAAAUACAAAAAAUUAGCCGGGUGUGGUGGUAUGCACCUGUUGUCACAGCUACUCGAGAGGCUGAAGUGGGAGAACUGCUUGAGCCUGGGAGGCAGAGGUUGUAGUGAGCCAAGAUUGCACCACUGCACUCCAACCUGGGUGAAAAAAAUAAAAGAAAAACUAUCUCUAGGGGUGGAGCUCUGGGGAAUGUUUUCUCUGUUCAAAUGUUCUACCAAGCAGAUGUAUUACAGUGGAUGUGAUUGCCUUUAAUUUGCUUGAUUUGCUGGACAUCGUUCAAAGGUCAUCCCCAGGUAUCAGUGGAUGGAUAGGAAGGAGAGUGUGUGCACUGAGGGUGUGGCUGUGGGCCCUGCAGGGGAGGCACCACAGGGAGGGGCUGGCACUCCUAUGGGCUCAGACGCUCAGGUGAGUUGCCCAUUACAUAAGGUGCAUUGCUAGGGCAUUAGCUCAGCCAGGAAGGAACCACUCUGGACUUGUG